This 32-nucleotide non-coding RNA is filed under the name Mus musculus (house mouse). The record is from RNAcentral. Lineage: Eukaryota; Metazoa; Chordata; Mammalia; Rodentia; Muridae.
UCCUGGUGCUUAAUAAAGUUAUUAUCCUAGCC